CUACAAACGUAAUACAAUGGCGUAUACAAAGGGAUGCGAAAGAGCGAUCUGGAGCAAAACUCAUAAAGUACGUCUCAGUUCGGAAUGAAGUCUGCAACUCGACUUCAUGAAGCUGGAAUCGCUAGUAAUCGCGGAUCAGCAUGCCGCGGUGAAUACGUUCUCGGGGUUU
This 169-nucleotide ribosomal RNA is filed under the name uncultured Erysipelothrix sp. Its description in RNAcentral is "partial 16S ribosomal RNA". It matches the Rfam family "Bacterial small subunit ribosomal RNA", at positions 1214 to 1382 of the family's 1533-position model. Lineage: Bacteria; Bacillati; Bacillota; Erysipelotrichia; Erysipelotrichales; Erysipelotrichaceae. The record is from RNAcentral.